Mytilus trossulus (common blue mussel) is the source of this 1135-nucleotide long non-coding RNA. RefSeq lists it as uncharacterized. The record is from RefSeq and is a predicted model, not a curated record. NCBI's taxonomy places the organism in Eukaryota, Metazoa, Mollusca, Bivalvia, Mytilida, Mytilidae. The transcript is spliced from 3 exons.
UUUCAUUCAUAUUUUCGCGGGAUUUGAACAGGAAGUCGGAUUGCCCAUGCGCAUUAUUUAAACGCGUCUUUCCUGUAUUUCAAAAAGAAUAACAAAGGACGAGGUUGCAGAGAAACUUUCCGUUUAUCACGCAUAUUUAUGUUUCUUAUCAAACAAAUCAUUGGCUGUAAUGCAUAAAGUGGAGCAAAAUCAAAAAGUUUUGGGAAUGCCAGUCUUUAAAAUCAUCAAAGAGGUUAAAUAUACUGCAAAAGUAUAAAGAUGUCAUUGGGAAAUACCGCAGAAAUAUCUCGAAGCGGUGGAAGAAUGAUGACACGCAAUAAGGACAAACAGAGACAAAGAUAACAAAUGAAUUUAUAAAAUAAAUAUUGUAUCAAAAGAAAUAUGAUUGUAUUACUUAAUUUUAUAUUGUUCCUGAGUAUGUAUUCAUUUAAUGGUUUAUACCAAUUAUUGGUGUGAGGGUAAUAUUUAUAUUUAUAUAUACAUAACAUAUUUGGUCAAGGACCUUUGGUUUUUGUGGAGAUUUGUCUGCCCGUGAGUGGUAAGCAGUCAUGCAGCAACUUCUUAUUGUAAUAAGUAUUGCAAUCAUCCUGAACACAAGUUGGAUCUUAUUAUGUCUUCAUGAUUCUUGGGAUAUACUUCUUUUAAGAAGGGCUUAACAUUUGUUGGUCGUUAAAAAAAACUACUUUCAACUUGUGAGAAUUAUUUAGAACUAUAUAUAUUCAUCAUCUUCUUUCCUCUCUGUUUGGAGAUCCUUUCUGUAGUGUCGGGGAUGUUGUUUCAGUAACAGUUGAUGUAUUUAUUUAGAUGUUUCCCAUUUAGCUUAUCUAUUUGGUUUAUAUGUAUCUUGGUGAGAGAAAAACACAUUAAAAAAAGUGUACACUCAGGCUGCCUACCAUCUAACAACAGCAAAAUAUGGAGAGCAGGUAAAAAAUGUGUAUGCAGCUUAAUAAUUAAUUUCAUUAAUAUACUUUCAACUACUAUUCAACCUUGAAUCAACGUUGAAUGGAUGUUGAAACUUCAACGUUGAAAUGUCAACGUUAAUUCCAAUUUUCAAAAUCAAACAUAAAUUUGACAUUGUUUCAACGUUGAGAAACAACCUUGUUUCAACGUUGAAUCAACGUUGAGUGCCUGCUGG